This 45-nucleotide non-coding RNA is filed under the name Schistosoma margrebowiei. Lineage: Eukaryota; Metazoa; Platyhelminthes; Trematoda; Strigeidida; Schistosomatidae. The record is from RNAcentral.
AUCCAGAUGACGGGUCUCAAAUGGGAUGAAACGAGCGUCCUGGAU